Molecule: long non-coding RNA, 218 nt
Filed under: Lytechinus variegatus (green sea urchin)
Lineage: Eukaryota; Metazoa; Echinodermata; Echinoidea; Temnopleuroida; Toxopneustidae
Description: uncharacterized LOC121421782, transcript variant X2
Source: RNAcentral
AACAGUAGAAACUACACCAACUGAUCCAACGACUGAAGAAACCACAUCACCUGACACAACAACAGAAGAAACUACACCAGUUACAACCACAGUAGAAACUACACCAACUGAUCCAACGACUGAAGAAACCACAUCACCUGACACAACAACAGAAAAAACUACACCAGUUACAACCACAGAAAACUGUGAAAUAGAUGCAAUUCCUUUCUCAAAUCAAA